This 351-nucleotide long non-coding RNA is filed under the name Crocodylus porosus (Australian saltwater crocodile). RNAcentral describes it as "lncRNA (ENSCPRG00005018752.1)". The record is from RNAcentral. Lineage: Eukaryota; Metazoa; Chordata; Crocodylia; Crocodylidae.
AUGAGACCCCAUCCAGGGCAUCGCCUCCUUUGCAUGAAAUUCCAGCUGGAAGGGCCUUGCAGCUCAUGUUUCCUAGUUUGCCGUGGAGUUAGAGAGGCAAUCAGUUUGCUGAAGAAAUCCACCUAUGCUAAUGAAAAGAAAAAAGGAGAGCCUCUGCUUAGAAGUUCCAUGGGUGUAAGGCUGAGAGGGAAGAAUGUGAAGUUGUGAGGCUGCAUAAAGCUCCACCAGUGCCUGGACCAGUGAAACCAUGGCCUAGGAUUAGGAGGUACAAAGAACAGGGUUGUGCAUUCAUACAUGGGUGUGUAGACACAUGCAACUUGCCUGUCUACCAGGCUUUCUGUGCCACAAAGA